Molecule: long non-coding RNA, 425 nt
Filed under: Equus caballus (horse)
Lineage: Eukaryota; Metazoa; Chordata; Mammalia; Perissodactyla; Equidae
Description: lncRNA (ENSECAG00000053322.1)
Source: RNAcentral
AUGAACCACCAAGCGCUCCACGUUAAUUAUUAUUAUUACCUCUGCCUGACUGACGAAAGAAGCGGGGAAGGAUGCCACAGGAUCAGACAGGCCUGUGGAGAUCAGGGCGCUGCUGAGGAUGGGUUCCCCACCCCCAGAUCCCACAGCAUUGGGCAGACCAGCUUUUUCUGGGAAGUGGCCUGUGCAGCUCUGACCUUGGCUCCGACUCUCACCCCUCUUCCCGCAGACCAGAACCACAGAAAACAUUAACCCUCCGUCCACCAAACUCCCAGCCAGAGGCACUCAGCUCCCUGUGUGGGUUUAGCAUGACGGGGUGCCGUGUGUCCUGGCAAUCAUUUAUUGAGCUGUGCCUGCUAUGCAAAGAGGCUCAUCAUGCUAUGAGACAGAUCCUUUCGUUACUCCCACUUUAUAGACGAGAAACUGAG